UAAAAUUUAUUUAUCUUUUUAUAUUUUUAUAUAUGAGUUCUGUUUUUGAAUGCUGGUACCAUACAUGAGCCUGGUGCCCAUGGAGGUCAGAAAGAGGGCAUUGUUGGAUCCCAUGGGGUUGGAUUCAUAGGUACUUGUAACUCAUUCCAGUGUUCGGAAUGACCCUCCAUCCUCUUCAAGAUCAGCAAGUGCUCUUAAGCACUAAGCCAUGUAUGCGUUUUGUAAGGUAUAUGCUAAAGUCCAUAAUAGAUCAUGUGGGACAAACUUCCCAGCAUGGAAUAUUCUAGUCUUUCCAGUGGAGAGUGGUAUGGAGAAGACAUUUGAACCCCAAAGGAUCCACACUGAAGUGCAGUGGCACUCACUAGCAGUGUGAAUCUAGGUACAUCUUUCCCGAGAGCCUCAGCUUUCUUCUUUGGAUGGAGAUGGUUAGGGCUGGAGAGACGUCUCAGAGGUUAAGAGCUCUUGCUGAUCUUCCAGAAGACUCAAGUUCAGUUCCCAGCAUCCAUGUUAAACAACUCACAAUGACCUGAAGCUGAUUCCAUUCCCUUCCUCUGGGCUCCAUUGGGACUUGCCCUCACAUGACAUACAUUCACACAGAUAAAUAAAGAUAAAUCUUAAAGAGUCCAGAUAAUUAAAGUCUAGGACACAGUGCUAAAGAUAAAGAUUGAAUGGAAGAAGACAUUGUGUGGCAUGCAGUAGACAAUGGCUUAGUCUGUGAAUUAUUACCCAGAAUUCAUCUCUGCAUUUAUCCCCAUUGCCUCUGAAACGUUGUUAUAAAGUGCCCCGGCAACACUUCACAGCUCCAAAUGGUGACUCAUCAGCCCCUGCUUUCUCUAAUGGCAAGAAGUGAAGAACCAGGAGCCUUAAACGGACUGAUUGGAGCAUCAAACCAGAGCACUUGGCCAUCCCUGCUGACUUCUGCUGAGUGGCGCCACUUGCACUUCGCAUCGACAGCAUCUCCCGGCCUCUCUUGAUUUAAAAUGGAGUUGUGCUGCUAAAGUAAAGUAUGCAAUUACACGAAAACGCCGACAUUAUCCCUCGAAAGACUCAACUUCUUUAAUUAUGAAAACCAAACUUACUCAAGUCCCCUGAGAGAGCUUCCAUGGGAGGAAGCACAGGGAGCCAAGCCACAGUCUGAAUACAGCUGCAGACAAGCUUCUACUUGGAUCCAGUAGCAGCUCUUCCUCCUCUGAUUAAGGCAGAGCAGGGGAAAAUAUCUCUUGUGAAAGAAAGAAGGAGGAGGAGGAGGAGGAGGAGGAAAAGAAGAAGAAGAAGAAGGAGGAGAAGAAG
Long non-coding RNA from Mus musculus (house mouse), 1290 nucleotides. RefSeq annotates it as predicted gene, 33562. The transcript has 4 exons. Lineage: Eukaryota; Metazoa; Chordata; Mammalia; Rodentia; Muridae. The record is from RefSeq and is a predicted model, not a curated record.